CCCUGGGCCGGGCUGCCCCAGCCCUUCUGCCUGGCCUGGGUGGGGGCCGCUGGUGUGAGCCCCAGCCUGGAGGGACUUUUCUCCUGGAAGCCUGCUCUUCUGCUCAUCAGCCCACACAGCCCACACCGCCCUGGGUGCAGAUGGCUCCCGGGUGUCUGAGGGCAGGUGACACACGGGGGAACCUGGGCCACGAGCUGACUUCGUCAAGAUCCACCAGCGAGGACACAGAGGCACGGCAGCAGGGGCAAAGACCCAAAGGUUCUUUAUUGAUUCGCUAUCCAAUCUCCCAGAAGGUGGCUCGGCUGCACGAUGCAGGCCGUGCUCAGCAUUUCACGUGGAGCUGAGCUCAUCAGCCAGAGCCAUGAGGUCGGUCACCAGGGUGUCCAGCAGCCCACAAACCUGGAAGAAGGGGACGGACACCGCGGGCAAAGGGUUGCUCGGGGGAGAGCACCUCCGCGGGGGAGGGGUAACCAAAGCUCUGAGAGUUCCAGCGGAAGUUCUGUUUUUGCAAAGCUUUGCUUAGUCAAACCUGCACGGCUCCCUUUGACAACCAGAGCCUGCAGAUGUUAAAGGAGCAACUCCACAGGACCCCAGGGAGCAGUGCCCCAGUUCCUUCCCGUAGGAUCACAGAUCCACAGACUCUCCAAGACCACGCAGGAUCCUCCACAUCCGAGAGCCGAGGGACAGUCUACCCCCAUGGGCCCUGGGUCCUCUCACUGUCUAGACCCCACUGAGCACCAGAAAAUCAGUGACGUCACCGGCAGCAGACGGAAGUUCCGGUUGAAUGAGAUCCCUUGUGUUACCAGAAUGGCGAUGACGUAAGCCCAGCUCCCCAGCUAUCCGCAUCAGAGGAAGACAAAGCAAGGUCAUCACACCAUUGACUAUCCAGCGUGGCUCUGCGGAUUUCCCCCCCUGCUGGAUCUCUAAGGACCCGAGGGAAGCCUCUCCAGUGCUUCUGAGCCCUUAGAAUGGCUGGAAACGCACCCUUGCUAAGGUCUGGAACGCAGGAGCCGCUGCCCGAGGCAAUGGUGUGGGGAGGUGGGGGACCCCUGAGAGGGGUUUGGCUCCUGAGGGCUCCACCCUUGCUGCCCUGGGCAUGUGAGUUCUUACUCUCAGGACUGGACUAGUUACCCAGAGAGCCAGCUGCUAGGAAGCCAGGCUGCCCCUCAGCUCUGCCGACUCUGCACACGCUCUGCUGGCCUUUCUCUUUCCACCGUGACCUGAAGGAGCACAAGGCUGCCCCAGUGCCAUGCUCUUGAACUUGCCACCCUCCACAACCGUUAACCCAAACACACUUCUUUCCUUAUAGAUUGCCCCAGAAACGGGGCAACUGACAUGAACUGACACGCAUUCUCCCAAGCAGGGUGCACCUGACAGACAGGAGGUGGGAGCAGCAGAGAGGGGCCUCCUUCCCCUUUGCCUGCAGUCUGCUUCCAGAUGGCAGCUGCAGCGAGCUGCUAGAGCCCACGCCAGACCCUCUCACUCCUCUGUUCAAGGCCCUGCAGGCUUCUCGCUUCACCCAGAAAAAAAGCCCCGAAUCCCCACAAUGGCCCGUCCUGGACGCACAGGGCCGGCUGGCCUUCCACACUCGCCAGCCCUCCCCACUCCGGAUGGGUUGCUCCCCCUGCUAGGGCACCCUUCUGGGGACGGCCACCUGGCCACCUCCCUUCAAUUCUGUUGGAGGUCAGCUUCCCCACGAGGCCCACCUGGCCCUGGUCCAUCCUCUCUUCCCCACAGUACUCUGCACCUAACACCCCAGGUGUAUCUGCAAGGUCUCUGAUUCCCACAGCCAUGCGCCCAUCACUGACGGGAGGCCACGGUGGCAGGCGUGAGCGGGGGGAGGGGGGCAUGGCUCUGGGCUCUCCCCUCACCUCCGUGUGGAGCCUCUGGGUGUAUUUCUCCAUGACCAGGGGGUCUAUGGGCUCUUGAGAGGGGGUGGCGCUGUCAUGGGAAGUCUCUUCCGAGGAAAGCCUGUCCCGGCUGGAGGAUUUCACCAUUUUCUUGUCGUCCUUUGCCUUCUGCUUCUUGCUGUUGACACGGUCCUGCGUGGACACCGGGGGCAGGCCCAGCCUUCAGUGAUGCCCCCCCAACAGCAGCUCAGCGGGGAGCCGGGCCCGCCUGCCCCCAGCCCCUCCCGGCCCGCAGGCCCCAGCAUGCCUCCUUCCCCGGCAUCUUGGCUCCUUUCUUGUCCUCCUUCUCUCUGAGCCCCGUCUGCUUCUUUUCCUGGGCCGCCCCCCUCCGCUCCUCCUUCCCGGCUCUCACCACGGCUGCCUUCACCUCCGUGACGGGGGUUGACUUUUGAUCUGAGGGAGGCGAGGGGAGGAUACCAUGGCAGCCCUCGGGGGGCGGGCUAACAGCAUGGGCACAUGAGGAGGUUUAGGGUGAUGGCCUUGAGCCCCGUCAGCGCCCCCCACCCCGACGGCGUUCAGGGAGCCCUGCAGCUGCUCUGUCCCCUAAGCCUCUCGUUCAGGUGCACGACCUUGUGGAACAGGACCGCGGGAUGGGAGGGGGGUGCAGGGAGAGACCUGGGUUCCGGUCCCAGCUCUGCACUCCCCCACACAGGGCCAUGGACAAGUCAGUUAACUCCUCUGGGCCUCCACCUGCAACACCAGGGCCCUGAGCUAAGGUGAUCGCUGAGGGGGCUGCGGGGCUGCAAUCCUGAUGGGAGGGGAGCAGGGCCGGCUCCUCGGGCUCAGCCUAGCAGAGCCUCCGCCCCAGGCAGCCCGUGGCUGGGGCUGCCCCGCCACGGGGCAGGGGCCGGGAAGACGACACGCGAGUGGCCACGCGGCGCCUGACCUUGCUCCUCCAGCACAUCCAAAUAGACGGUCUCCUUCUCAGGCAGGCCCAGCAGAGCCCUCAGCCACAGGGAGUGGCUCACCAGGCUGUCAAUCACAACUCGCCACAGCUGCAGACUAGAGGGCAGAACACAUGGGGGAGAGACCAGCACUCCCUGUUUACCCUUGAACCUGAAGACGCUCUAGUCCCCAGCCCUGCAAAGACUCUGGUGCUGGGAACUGCUAUGGAAACGCCUGGCCUGAGAGUGGCCGGCGCCCCCAUAAGUACCCAUGCAGGGGCUCAGAUGCAGCCUGGCUUCUUCCAGGUGGUGGCCAAGAGAAAAGGGCCUAGGACCAGGGGGAGGAGAUCUGCAUACAUUCAGCCACCCCCCCAAGUCCCUCGGAGCAAGUUCCAGAUAGGCAAGGUGCAGGCUCACAACCAGCAGAGCAGCGGGUGCUCUGAAUGGACCCUGCCCUGCCCCUCUUCUCACUGCCCUCUGCUUUCUCCCUUUUACAUUCCUCUGCUCCAAGAGGAAGGAAAAAAAAAAGAAGACGACAACGAUGACGACGACGACAAGGUCUAUUCUUGAGAGCGGCGGGCAGGGACUGUUAAGGGCAGGCUCCAGGCGUGGGUCUGCAGAUCUUUCCACAGCCCCGGAGCCCUGAGACAGCCUCCCCCGGAACCCGGCCAGGCGCUACGGAGGGAAGCAGGGGGCACCUACCACAUCUGGUGCAGGAAGUUGGACUGCACCGGCCUCUGCUCCUGGCACAGCUCCAGGGCUGCCUUGUUGAGCCUAACCAGGGCGUCCUCUCUCUGGUUCUCCUCAGGGAGCGCCACUGCUGCCUGGCAGGGUCACAGGCAUCAUGAGCAUCCUGUGGCCUCUAGUGACAGGCAUGGUGACAGGGAACAGGUGGUUGGAGCCAGGAGAGGAUGCAGCCUUGGGGAGUCUGUCGGGGGGCUGCCCCUCCCCACAC
Molecule: long non-coding RNA, 3749 nt
Organism: Oryctolagus cuniculus (rabbit)
Lineage: Eukaryota; Metazoa; Chordata; Mammalia; Lagomorpha; Leporidae
Source: RefSeq, a predicted model, not a curated record